CCUACGGGUGGCAGCAGUGGGGAAUAUUGGGCAAUGGACGCAAGUCUGACCCAGCAACGCCGCGUGAAGGAAGAAGGCUUUCGGGUUGUAAACUUCUUUUAAGGGGGAAGAGCAGAAGACGGUACCCCUUGGAUAAGCCACGGCUAACUACGUGCCAUCAGCCGCGGUAAUACGUAGGUGGCAAGCGUUGUCCGGAUUUAGUGGGUGUAAAGGGCGUGCAGCCGGAGAGACAAGUCAGAUGUGAAAUCCACGGGCUCAAACCGUGAACGGCAUUUGAAACUGUUUCUCUUGAGUGUCGGAGAGGUAAGCGGAAUGCGUGGUGUAGCGGUGAAAUGCGUAGAUAUAAGGAAGAACACCAGUGGCGAAGGCGGCUUACCGGCAGAUAACUGACGGUGAGGCGCGAAAGCGUGGGUAGCAAACAGGAUUAGAUACCCCAGUAGUC
RNAcentral lists this ribosomal RNA (442 nucleotides) under uncultured bacterium. RNAcentral describes it as "partial 16S ribosomal RNA". It matches the Rfam family "Bacterial small subunit ribosomal RNA", at positions 338 to 795 of the family's 1533-position model. The record is from RNAcentral.